RNAcentral lists this unclassified non-coding RNA (735 nucleotides) under Hevea brasiliensis (rubber tree). Lineage: Eukaryota; Viridiplantae; Streptophyta; Magnoliopsida; Malpighiales; Euphorbiaceae. The record is from RNAcentral.
AUUGCGAAAAUAGGUGAAUACAACUAUCAUUAAUAAUUUCGUCUUUGGACCAAAAACAGGCUAAGGGUAGAAUAGCACAAAGAGAAAGUGCUCCUAGUAAAAAAGCCGUUUUUGUAACUGGAAUAUGUUUUUUUAAACCAUUAAGAAUCAUAUUUUGACUCUUAUUUGGAGAAUAACCAAGAAUAGUUUCCAUUGAAUGAAUGGUGAUUGAUACAAAUUGCAUAUAAGAAUAAAUUUUUUACCUAUCAAACCCUGGCAUCUAUCAUGAAUGGAAGACUUAAUUUUGUUGAUGAUAAGCUGCUAAGUUAUGGUUACAUUUAGAAUGACAUGUUAUUGUGGUGCUGGUAGAAGUACGAAAUAUCAACUUAAAAAGUUUCAUUUUUGGUUGGCUUGUGUUCUAAAGAACUCUCUUUUGUAAUUACUUAAAAGUGUUUGAAAAAGUUUUAGAAUCAGUGCAAAGAAGUAAGAAAAUUUAGAUGCAAUGUAGGCUAUUACAUGCUUGGUAGAGUUUGUAUCUUUGAUUCUUGCAUGAAGUGUAAACAAGUUGCUGUGUUAUGAGAAUUUGCUGAGGUGGUUGUUAAUUUAUUUUUCCAGAGAUUAAUUAUUAGCAUUUAAAAGUUCUAUGUCUAGAUGCCAAGGUAUGAAGUUCUGUAUGGUCUUAAAUUAUAGAUUAUCAGAAUGUUUAAGUAGUUUCAUUUUUGUCAGCAAAUAUUGUCCUAGGUUCUGGAUCACUUA